RNAcentral lists this ribosomal RNA (1136 nucleotides) under Bacteroides fragilis. RNAcentral describes it as "bacterial SSU rRNA". It matches the Rfam family "Bacterial small subunit ribosomal RNA", at positions 1 to 1126 of the family's 1533-position model. The record is from RNAcentral. Lineage: Bacteria; Pseudomonadati; Bacteroidota; Bacteroidia; Bacteroidales; Bacteroidaceae.
CUUUUACAAUGAAGAGUUUGAUCCUGGCUCAGGAUGAACGCUAGCUACAGGCUUAACACAUGCAAGUCGAGGGGCAUCAGGAAGAAAGCUUGCUUUCUUUGCUGGCGACCGGCGCACGGGUGAGUAACACGUAUCCAACCUGCCCUUUACUCGGGGAUAGCCUUUCGAAAGAAAGAUUAAUACCCGAUAGCAUAAUGAUUCCGCAUGGUUUCAUUAUUAAAGGAUUCCGGUAAAGGAUGGGGAUGCGUUCCAUUAGGUUGUUGGUGAGGUAACGGCCCACCAAGCCUUCGAUGGAUAGGGGUUCUGAGAGGAAGGUCCCCCACAUUGGAACUGAGACACGGUCCAAACUCCUACGGGAGGCAGCAGUGAGGAAUAUUGGUCAAUGGGCGUUAGCCUGAACCAGCCAAGUAGCGUGAAGGAUGAAGGCUCUAUGGGUCGUAAACUUCUUUUAUAUAAGAAUAAAGUGCAGUAUGUAUACUGUUUUGUAUGUAUUAUAUGAAUAAGGAUCGGCUAACUCCGUGCCAGCAGCCGCGGUAAUACGGAGGAUCCGAGCGUUAUCCGGAUUUAUUGGGUUUAAAGGGAGCGUAGGUGGACUGGUAAGUCAGUUGUGAAAGUUUGCGGCUCAACCGUAAAAUUGCAGUUGAUACUGUCAGUCUUGAGUACAGUAGAGGUGGGCGGAAUUCGUGGUGUAGCGGUGAAAUGCUUAGAUAUCACGAAGAACUCCGAUUGCGAAGGCAGCUCACUGGACUGCAACUGACACUGAUGCUCGAAAGUGUGGGUAUCAAACAGGAUUAGAUACCCUGGUAGUCCACACAGUAAACGAUGAAUACUCGCUGUUUGCGAUAUACAGUAAGCGGCCAAGCGAAAGCAUUAAGUAUUCCACCUGGGGAGUACGCCGGCAACGGUGAAACUCAAAGGAAUUGACGGGGGCCCGCACAAGCGGAGGAACAUGUGGUUUAAUUCGAUGAUACGCGAGGAACCUUACCCGGGCUUAAAUUGCAGUGGAAUGAUGUGGAAACAUGUCAGUGAGCAAUCACCGCUGUGAAGGUGCUGCAUGGUUGUCGUCAGCUCGUGCCGUGAGGUGUCGGCUUAAGUGCCAUAACGAGCGCAACCCUUAUCUUCAGUUACUAACAGGU